Molecule: ribosomal RNA, 659 nt
Filed under: uncultured Bacillus sp.
Lineage: Bacteria; Bacillati; Bacillota; Bacilli; Caryophanales; Bacillaceae
Description: bacterial SSU rRNA
Rfam family: Bacterial small subunit ribosomal RNA
Source: RNAcentral
UCCUACGGGAGGCAGCAGUAGGGAAUCUUCCGCAAUGGACGAAAGUCUGACGGAGUAACGCCGCGUGAGUGAUGAAGGCUUUCGGGUCGUAAAACUCUGUUGUUAGGGAAGAACAAGUACAAGAGUAACUGCUUGUACCUUGACGGUACCUAACCAGAAAGCCACGGCUAACUACGUGCCAGCAGCCGCGGUAAUACGUAGGUGGCAAGCGUUAUCCGGAAUUAUUGGGCGUAAAGCGCGCGCAGGCGGUUUCUUAAGUCUGAUGUGAAAGCCCACGGCUCAACCGUGGAGGGUCAUUGGAAACUGGGGAACUUGAGUGCAGAAGAGAAAAGCGGAAUUCCACGUGUAGCGGUGAAAUGCGUAGAGAUGUGGAGGAACACCAGUGGCGAAGGCGGCUUUUUGGUCUGUAACUGACGCUGAGGCGCGAAAGCGUGGGGAGCAAACAGGAUUAGAUACCCUGGUAGUCCACGCCGUAAACGAUGAGUGCUAAGUGUUAGAGGGUUUCCGCCCUUUAGUGCUGCAGCUAACGCAUUAAGCACUCCGCCUGGGGAGUACGGUCGCAAGACUGAAACUCAAAGGAAUUGACGGGGGCCCGCACAAGCGGCGGAGCAUGUGGAUUAAUUCGAUGCAACGCGAAGAACCUUACCUGGGCUUGACAU